AUUGACAAAGACACAUUUCAUUUAAGAAUAAAGCCUUUAUUUUGUCUUCCCACAGUUCAAGUUUGUCAGAACCACCCAAUGACGUGGUGGCAUGUAGAGUGAAUGAGAGAGGUAGACCAUCAGUUCCAUCCACCCAGUCAUCACCUUGUACAGUUCCAUCCACCCUGUACAGUUCCAUCCACCCAGUCAUCACCCUGUACAGUUCCAUCCACCCAGUCAUCCACCCUGUACAGUUCCAUCCACCCAGUCAUCCACCCUGUACAGUUCCAUCCACCCACCCAGUCAUCCACCCUGUACAGUUCCAUCCACCCAGUCAUCAGCCUGUACAGUUCCAUCCACCCAGUCAUCACCCUGUACAGUUCCAUCCACCCAGUCAUCACCCUGUACAGUUCCAUCCACCCAGUCAUCCGCCCUGUACAGUUCCAUCCACCGUCAUCCGCCUGUACAGUUCCAUCCACCGUCAUCCGCCUGUACAGUUCCAUCCACCCAGUCAUCCACCCUGUACAGUUCCAUCCACCCUGUACAGUUCCAUCCACCCUGUACAGUUCCAUCCACCCUGUACAGUUCCAUCCACCCAGUCAUCAGCCUGUACAGUUCCAUCCACCCAGUCAUCCACCCUGUACAGUUCCAUCCACCCUGUACAGUUCCAUCCACCCUGUACAGUUCCAUCCACCCAGUCAUCAGCCUGUACAGUUCCAUCCACCCAGUCAUCAGCCUGUACAGUUCCAUCCACCCAGUCAUCAGCCUGUACAGUUCCAUCCACCCAGUCAUCAGCCUGUACAGUUCCAUCCACCCAGUCAUCAGCCUGUACAGUUCCAUCCACCCAGUCAUCAGCCUGUACAGUUCCAUCCACCCAGUCAUCCACCCUGUACAGUUCCAUCCACCCUGUACAGUUCCAUCCACCCUGUACAGUUCCAUCCACCCAGUCAUCAGCCUGUACAGUUCCAUCCACCCAGUCAUCAGCCUGUACAGUUCCAUCCACCCUGUAUUACUCAAUCUUCUCAACACAUAAGGAAUCAGUGUGUUGUGAGGAGCCUCUGUACUAAUUGGAAUAGUCCCGCUCCACUUCUAGAUCCUUAA
Molecule: long non-coding RNA, 1080 nt
Filed under: Salmo trutta (river trout)
Lineage: Eukaryota; Metazoa; Chordata; Actinopteri; Salmoniformes; Salmonidae
Description: lncRNA (ENSSTUG00000045493.1)
Source: RNAcentral